This 1289-nucleotide ribosomal RNA is filed under the name Enterocloster aldenensis. RNAcentral's name for it is "bacterial SSU rRNA". It matches the Rfam family "Bacterial small subunit ribosomal RNA", at positions 105 to 1432 of the family's 1533-position model. The record is from RNAcentral. Lineage: Bacteria; Bacillati; Bacillota; Clostridia; Lachnospirales; Lachnospiraceae. RNAcentral also lists the same sequence under 1 other name.
GGUGAGUAACGCGUGGAUAACCUGCCUCACACUGGGGGAUAACAGUUAGAAAUGGCUGCUAAUACCGCAUAAGCGCACAGUACCGCAUGGGACGGUGUGAAAAACCCAGGUGGUGUGAGAUGGAUCCGCGUCUGAUUANCCAGUUGGCGGGGUAACGGCCCACCAAAGCGACGAUCAGUAGCCGACCUGAGAGGGUGACCGGCCACAUUGGGACUGAGACACGGCCCAAACUCCUACGGGAGGCAGCAGUGGGGAAUAUUGCACAAUGGGCGCAAGCCUGAUGCAGCGACGCCGCGUGAGUGAAAAAAUAUCUCGGUAUGUAAAGCUCUAUCAGCAGGAAAAAGGAUAAAAACCCGGCUAACUACGUGCCAGCAGCCGCGGUAAUACGUAGGGGGCAAGCGUUAUCCGGAUUUACUGGGUGUAAAGGGAGCGUAGACGGCGACGCAAGUCUGGAGUGAAAGCCCGGGGCCCAACCCCGGGACUGCUUUGGAAACUGUGCUGCUGGAGUGCAGAGAGGUAAGUGGAAUUCCUAGUGUACGGUGAAAUGCGUAAUAUUAGAGGAACACCAGUGGCGAAGGCGGCUUACUGGACUGUAACUGACGUUGAGGCUCGAAAGCGUGGGGAGCAAACAGGAUUAGAUACCCUGGUAGUCCACGCCGUAAACGAUGAAUGCUANGUGUCGGGGGGCAAAGCCCUUCGGUGCCGCCGCUAACGCAAUAAGCAUUCCACCUGGGGAGUACGUUCGCAAGAAUGAAACUCAAAGGAAUUGACCGGGACCCGCACAAGCGGUGGACCAUGUGCUUUAAUUCGAAACAACGCGAAAAACCUUACCAAGUCUUGACAUCCCCCUGACCGGUCCGUAACGGGGCCUUUCCUUCGGGACAGGGGAGACAGGUGGUGCAUGGUUGUCGUCAGCUCGUGUCGUGAGAUGUUGGGUUAAGUCCCGCAACGAGCGCAACCCUUAUCCUUAGUAGCCAGCACGUCGUGGUGGGCACUCUAGGGAGACUGCCAGGGAUAACCUGGAGGAAGGUGGGGAUGACGUCAAAUCAUCAUGCCCCUUAUGAUUUGGGCUACACACGUGCUACAAUGGCGUAAACAAAGGGAGGCGACCCUGCGAAGGUAAGCAAAUCCCAAAAAUAACGUCCCAGUUCGGACUGUAGUCUGCAACCCGACUACACGAAGCUGGAAUCGCUAGUAAUCGCGGAUCAGAAUGCCGCGGUGAAUACGUUCCCGGGUCUUGUACACACCGCCCGUCACACCAUGGGAGUCAGCAACGCCCGAAGUCAGUG